This 402-nucleotide ribosomal RNA is filed under the name uncultured bacterium. RNAcentral's name for it is "partial 16S ribosomal RNA". It matches the Rfam family "Bacterial small subunit ribosomal RNA", at positions 338 to 732 of the family's 1533-position model. The record is from RNAcentral.
CCUACGGGUGGCAGCAGUGGGGAAUAUUCCACAAUGGGCGAAAGCCUGAUGCAGCGACGCCGCGUGGGUGAAGAAGGUCUUCGGAUCGUAAACCCCUGUCAGUAGGGAAGAACGUUCGCUGGACUAACUGUUCAUGUAUUGACGGUACCUGCACAGGAAGCACCGGCUAACUCCGUGCCAGCAGCCGCGGUAAUACGUAGGGUGCAAGCGUUAAUCGGAAUUACUGGGCGUAAAGCGCCCGCAGGCGGUCUUUUAAGUCAGAUGUGAAAUCCUCGGGCUUAACGGGGGUAGUGCAUUUGAAACUGGGAAACUUGAGUGUAGGAGAGGAGAGUGGAAUUCCAUGUGUAGCGGUGAAAUGCGUAGAGAUAUGGAGGAACAUCAGUGGCGAAGGCGACUAUCUGG